AUGUGUUUCUCGGCUCCCCGCUGCGCCCAGCCUGGGCCCCGGGGCACCCUUUUAGGAGGCCGUCGCCGGGCAAGGCGACCCCCACCAGCGCCCGGGGCCCCCGGGAGCCCCUUAAAUGGCGGCCGCCGGGCUCCCGGAGGGGGCAGGCCGACGACGACCAUGCCGAGGGAAGCCGUGCUUCUGCUGGCCUGGCUGGCCUUGCUGCUGGCCCUCCCGGCCCCACUGCUGGCCUUCCCCAGCGCAACGCCAGAUGUCACAGCUUCCUACCCGAAGGACACAACCACAGAAGUUACUGGUGAAGUGACCAUCACUGAAAGCAGAGGCCGAAGGAGUGAAUACAUUGAAUAUGACUCUAUCGCAGAGGAAGACUACUUGACUGGUAUGUCCAGUUAGUUCUGCUUCUUUAACCCUUCUAUAUGCAAAUAUCUUCUGCCAACAGUCACACAUAACACUCUCACACACCUUUCAGAUUUCUACUAUGGCAUAGAAGCCUACUGUGUAGAGAGAAGAAGGAAAAUUUUAUAGUCAUUGCUUGCUUAUUGGCUUCUUAGCCUAUUCCUUUGUGAAGUAUAAUGAGAGGCAGACGGACUGAGGGUUUUUAUUGUUUCUUGCUUUUUUUUUUUUUGUAAAAGGCAAGAAAGUAUUUCUUUUUCUUAAAAGAAAUAUUUCUUAAAAAUAUUGAAAAUGUGAAGUCUGGUCUGCUAGUUUAGUAGGAAAAUUUCUUGGAGCCAUCAGAGAUUAAUCAGUUAUUUUUAGUAUGCUAUAUUAUGCUGGAAAUGGAUAAAAACUUCAAUAUUUCUUCCAUUUCCUUUCUCCAGCUGUAAGUAUACCAUAGAAAUUAAAUAAAUGUAAACAGAAGCCCA
Molecule: long non-coding RNA, 863 nt
Filed under: Anser cygnoides (Swan goose)
Lineage: Eukaryota; Metazoa; Chordata; Aves; Anseriformes; Anatidae
Description: lncRNA (ENSACDG00005011372.1)
Source: RNAcentral